This 1158-nucleotide long non-coding RNA is filed under the name Pan troglodytes (chimpanzee). RNAcentral describes it as "long non-coding RNA NONPTRT007275". The record is from RNAcentral. Lineage: Eukaryota; Metazoa; Chordata; Mammalia; Primates; Hominidae.
GCUCCACGCUCCUCCCCUCCUUUCCCCUCCCGCAGCGUCCUGCGCGCAUGCGCUUCGCAGCUUCUCUCGCCGCCGCGCCCCUAGCUGCUCUGGUUACAGUUGGUGUUUGCGAAUUCUCUGCAGCGCCUUCUUCGCGGAACUCCACCGUCAGUUCCAUAAGCGCGCGCCCGCGUCACGUGGGCCGAGGUUCCGUCGCGGCUGCUGGCCGGCGGCUGAGCCGGGAGAAAGGAGCUGCGGCCACCGUUCGCCCUACCUCUGCGCCUCGGGGCGGGCGCGCCGGUAAAAAUGGCGAAAUGGGGGUAGGCGGCGCUGGACCUGAAGAGAUGGGGCGCGCAGGUGGGGCGGUUGUCAGAGCCCCCUGACGUGGGCGCCGGGCUUUUAUCGGCGAUUUGAUCUGGCGACCUCGGGCCGGCGCCUAAGAGGUCAGACUGCGGAGCCUGCGGGUCGCCAACGGCCCCGCCGAGAGCCGGAGGCAAUGGAUGAACAGAGCGUGGAGAGCAUUGCUGAGGUUUUCCGAUGUUUCAUUUGUAUGGAGAAAUUGCGGGAUGCACGCCUGUGUCCUCAUUGCUCCAAGCUGUGUUGUUUCAGCUGUAUUAGGCGCUGGCUGACAGAGCAGAGAGCUCAAUGUCCUCAUUGCCGUGCUCCACUCCAGCUACGAGAACUAGUAAAUUGUCGUUGGGCAGAAGAAGUAACACAACAGCUUGAUACUCUUCAACUCUGCAGUCUCACCAAACAUGAAGAAAAUGAAAAGGACAAAUGUGAAAAUCACCAUGAAAAACUUAGUGUAUUUUGCUGGACUUGUAAGAAGUGUAUCUGCCAUCAGUGUGCACUUUGGGGAGGAAUGCAUGGCGGACAUACCUUUAAACCUUUGGCAGAAAUUUAUGAGCAACAUGUCACUAAAGUGAAUGAAGAGGUAGCCAAACUUCGUCGGCGUCUCAUGGAACUGAUCAGCUUAGUUCAAGAAGUGGAAAGGAACGUAGAAGCUGUAAGAAAUGCAAAAGAUGAGCGUGUUCGGGAAAUUAGGAAUGCAGUGGAGAUGAUGAUUGCACGGUUAGACACACAGCUGAAGAAUAAGCUUAUAACACUGAUGGGUCAGAAGACAUCUCUAACCCAAGAAACAGAGCUGUUGGAAUCCUUACUUCAGGAGGUGGAGCACCA